This is a non-coding RNA of Pelobates cultripes (western spadefoot toad), 225 nucleotides long. The record is from the annotation of a GenBank genome assembly. Lineage: Eukaryota; Metazoa; Chordata; Amphibia; Anura; Pelobatidae.
UGUAAUCCCAUAUUAAAUGUAUCCAAACCAACAUGAGUAAGAUGUACCAAAUCAGUACGCAGAGAAUUAUGGUUCUCCUUCUAAUUCAACAUGAGGAAUCACCAAUCCACCCAAGCAUUGUACGAAUCAUGAUAUGGUCAUGUUGAAGCGACAUCCACCUCACUAUACCCCUUUUUGCGUUGCGCGCUCUUGACCCAGGUAAUUACCACCAGCGGGGAUCAGCAG